CCUCGCGAUGUCCACGUCGGACUAGCUGGAAGACAAAAAGAGCAAGAGGGAGGAAGUUGCCUCGAGCCCCACCCCUUCCUUAUCCUUUCCUCCAAAAUUUCACAUCGCACGCAACCUUCUCUCGUGACGCCGCCGCCGCCUCCUCUUCUCUCCCCCGAUUCUCCUCGCGACUGCUCCGAGCCCCUCCUCUUCCCUGUGUCGGCUGCUCGACGCGCCGCGCCACCGCUGCGGGAGAAGGUGAACACGAGGAGAUGCAGGGUGGGUGGCCUCGCCGGGAACCACCGGCUGGCCAAGGACCGUGUGGGCUGGCACUUCCCCGCGGCGCCCUCCUUCCCUGACUUGGCCGUCGCCACUGCCCCCUUCCCUCAUGUCGAGGCUGGGCGUGCACAGAGUGGGCGAGUCGAUCGCGACGGAACCAGAGUCACUCGAGGCCGGGGUGCGAGAUGAUGUCCAGCAGGCGGAGGGGUGGCCAUGGGAGGAGUAGCCCACAAUGAAAUCCAUUUUCUCUUUGUGUGUGUGUGUUGGAUUUCGAUCGAGGAAGGGGAUGGCGUGGGGAUGAGGCGGUGGACAGAGGAAGAGAGCGAUGCUGGCUGAGCGGGCGGAUCUGGAUCCAAGCGGCCCCUCGUGUGUUUGAUCUGUAGAGCGGCCAGAGGAGCAGGCCAACAUAACACCAACGUGCGCAAGGAAGAUGAGCUUCCAAAGUACAUCAUGCGCGGUAUGUACAUUCCUGUCCCGACGCCGUGCCCGACGCGCUGGACUGGAGGCAUAGCGGCGCCGUCACCAUGGUCAAGCAUCAGGGCAAGUGUGGUGCCAUGGAAGGACUAAACAAGAUCACGACAGGCUCUCUUCUCAGCCUUCCUGAGUAGAAACUAAUCGGUUGUGACAGAUCCCACAAUGCUGGUUGUGGCGGGGGACUGAAAAAGAUUCGAAUUUGAUGGGCCUAGUAGGCUACUGGACAAGACAUGGAGGGCCAAGACUCAGGAAAAACAAAAGGACAGGACAAGACCGGACGACUCCUCUGUACAAAGCAGCGAGCUCGCUUCUUUCAACAUGAAAAGAGGUGAAGACACCAAGGAGGCAGAGGAGCCCGUAAUGGUGAUAGGGGCAGCUGCCGAACAGACUUCAACUGUGGCGCCUCCGGAUCCAUCCGCAAUGACAUCCGUCUCCAUCUUCCUGGAUCAGAGUGAAAUAGGUGGAAACAACGAUGCCAGACUGUUCCUCAGCUACUGUCUAUGGCACAAGGUUGCAUAGGCCUCUCACACUCUCUCCCAGACUGUUCCUCUGACAACCGGUGCAUGCCACUCUUUUCUCUUCCUUUUUCUUUCUCUAUCGACCCGUGCAUGCAAUUCUCUCUCUCUUAAUUUUGUAAAAAAACUUUGAACAACGGCACUCUCUCUCUUUAAAACUUGCAUGCAGCAGACUCUCUCUUUACUUGAGCUCUGGCAAACCCACGUGACUACAGUACUGCAUGCAAGCGGCAGCGAGAGGACUGGUGUCACUAGCCUUUUCGGACGAAGGGACUGUUUGGUUCUAGGCCUAGCAUUGUCAUAUUUUACCACACAUUUUUGCCAACCUUGCCUAAGGUAAAUUCAUCAAAAUGAGAGUCACAAGUUGGCAAGCCUAAGGGAAUCUUGCCAUACUUUUUGUGUGUAUGCCAUGUGGGGCUCAAGUACGGCUUGGCUAAGGUGUGGCUUGAAUCAAAUACUCACCUAAGUUUGCCAAACUUGCCUAACCUUAGAUGUGACAACCUUUGGCAAAGUUAGUCACAAACCAAACAGCCUCUAAUCACUCUGUGGCUACACGGAUACUACUAUUGAUGCUGGCACUAGCACAUAUCUCAAUAUCAUGGUCAACGGUACAGAUAAGGGGCACCGUGUAGGACGAGCUACAAAGAAAUUUUGCGGUUAGCAAAUGCUACUUCCCUCCAUUUGGUGUCAUCAACAAGCUUGGCACGGCGUGGCAUCUCUCUGUGAAAAACAAAGGGCCAGUCCAUAUGAUCACUAUGUGCAUGCUCGACCUACCAGUCCUCCAAAUUGUGAAUAUAAACGACUUGGAAGAGGAUUAUACUAGUUCCAUGCACGGAACAAACUGAACUGCAUCCUUCAAAAAAUGAAAAAAAUAAAGAAAAUCAUAUGCUCAUAUGCACUCAAGGGAUCGAUUCCUCACCUGCAAGAUGUGGAGGCCCCACUUAGAGUAUGCUGCGAGGAGAGAACUAUAACUCGACUGAACCAGGUGGAGCAGGAACAAAGGAAAGGGCAACUAAAGUCCAAUAUGUAUCGCCAAUGAUGAACAUGCAAUUGACUUCAACUAACAAGGUUAUGAUGUUGGCCUCUUGGGAAAAAAAUUAUAUGCUUACGUUCGCACAAAGAAUGGGUUUAUACCUUGACUAAUGGCCCUUCAGCUAAUAAGAAUAGUUCAACAGUCAGCCUAGACAGCUCCAGGCCCUUUAGCUCUGCGUGGAUUAUAUAAUCUUCUGACAUUAAGGGGCCUCCAACUUCACCAAAUCCGCAUUCCAAAUGUUGAGGUUCAAAUCCGGAGUUCGGCCAUCUGUUUGACAGCCAAUUCCAUGGAGGAAAUAUUUGUAUGUAUUAUGUAUUACACCCUCGGUCCCAAAAUAAGUUUGGCUUAUUUUGAGACGGAUGGAGUAACUUUUUAUUAAAAAAAAUCCAAGAAUGUAAUCAUAAAACAUGAUAUUUCAGAAGCAUGACUUUGACGGUCCGGUUCGCGACAGUCAACGCGGCCACCCGUCUCCAUCUACCACCACGAACGCACGCAGAAUCAAGAUUGGGAGGCUAAUCACCACAAACGAUUUUUUUUAUCGAAUUGAGGAACUCUUGGCUACCGAUUUUUCAUUGAAAGGAAAACACAAGGUUUCCAGUGUUCACCCUCGCACAAGCUUCAGGGUAACAAAGCAGCAAGAUUGAUUGUCCAUCUGACGAGCCAACUGCUCGGGCGGGCGGAAGUCCCCGGUCGACACCACAAGGCAGCCCUCCGCACCGUCGAGCUUGGCCACUUCCACGCCAUGCUUCUCUACGACGCCAGCCUACCUCUUGACCUGCACAACGACGAGGAGAAGCUCGGCCCAGUCAUCAGCCGCGACGAGGAGAAGCUGCAGCAGUCUCUCCUCUCGGCCGCAACCUCGCAUCCUCUCGCUCUGCGGGGGAUCUGGACGGGAGAGGAGGAGGCGCGGUGGAUCUGGGCGGGGGAAGAUGCGGCGAGCCAUCGGAGAACGUCGGGGCGACGGCGGUCUGACGUCAGAUUCUUGAGUUUUCCAGGAAUACCCCUCGAUAUUCCUGCAUCAACAUUAAUUUUCACUCUACCUUCAGAGCUCCAUCGACUUGGGGCAGAAGUUCUAACAUUUACUCCCUCUGUCCGAAAAUACUUGUCAAAAUAUGUUUACAUACAUUCUUUUUUAUCUAUUUUGAUGACGAAUAUUUACAGACGGAAGGAGUAGAUCGCAUUGAGCUUUAGACGGAGUCAUGUCCAACUCUUCCAUAAAUUGAUUGAUAAAAUAAUGAGUGAACAUUAUACAACUAAUUAAGCAGCACUCACUUUUGUCUCCACUUUGCAAUAAGUGACGGACAUCCUAACAUGUGAGUUUUUUUUUCGUAUAUCCGUUUAUUCAAAACGUUUUAUUCCUUAAACUGUACGUCUAAAUCUUGAAUCGUUUUCACCGUUGGAUUACUCGUGUCAAGAUCAUCAAAACUAGAUCUCAUAUUGAUAGGUUUUGGCGUCUUCUUUUAAAAACCGAACGAAUAAACCUUGCACAUUUUUCUUUUCGAAAGAGGCACGACUAUGUCUCUCGUGGAAACAAAUUUGCGCCGCUCGCGGAAGGGAAACCCGUGUUCUUUUCGUUUUCGAGAGCACGGCUAUGCUUCUCACAAAAGCAAAUCCAUGCCUCUAGCAGAAGGAAAAAAAUGUGUUUUUUUUCAUUUUCGAGAUGCAGGACUAGUGGAAGCAAUUCCAUGCCUCUCGCGGAAGGAAAAAAUGCAUUUUUUCCGUUUUCGAGAGGCACUCUCGCGGAAGAAAAACAAUAAGCGUGUUUUUUCCUGUUUCUGAGAGACGCGACUCUGCCUCUAACGGAAGCAAAUCUGUGCCUCUCAUGAAGGGAAAAAACACGUUUUCUAGCACAAAAAGAACAACGUUUUUGUCUAAAACCUAAGAAAAACCGGGGGAAAUCGAAAAGCCAAAAAACCCGGAAAAAGUCAUAUAAAAAGCCAAAAACGCAUGCAAAAAAAAAUAAAAAUCCCAAAUCGAAGGAAGUAUCCAGCGUGUGACACGUGGCGACGGCUAGAGUGCGCUCUUAGUCCACCCCAGGUGACCCUUACGGGUUCCUAAAGGAGUACUCCUUGGAUAGUUUUUUAGGGGUUAAAUCAAGCUUUAUUGAUCAUAGACCACAUGAUGUGGGAUACAAAAAGGAUCAUGGGGCUCAACAAACCAUAUCGACUCAGAUCAAAAAAAUUGAAAACUUGGCUAACCUAUCAGCAUCACCAUUAGUGGCUCUACCUUCGAAUUUAAAUAAACAGUUUAACAAAGAGGCUCUCUGUUUGAUCUCGGAAAUAAUAGCACCGGAGCCACCUCGGCUUGAAUAUGAAAUAUCGUGGAUAGCUUGCUUGGAAUCUGACGCGAUGACAAUGUUCCGGAGCAUUAGAUCUUCAGCAAGAGCCAGACCCUCACGACAAGCAAUGGUCUCGAGCGUCGCAACAUCUGUUAUGCCCAGUUGUUCUAAUUUGUACGUGCUUUGCACGUCAACUGAUUACAUAUAAGCAUGGUACUAAAUUAGUGUAAAAAACUAAAGCACACAUACUAUGGUAAAUUUUUCAUAGAAGCUUCAAAUGGAGAUAUCCAAUAGGCAUUUGUGGAAUCAUUUUUGGGCUUCGCAAGGCCAGAUAACAAUUAUUCCCCCAAUAAACAUAGUACAAUGGUUUUCUUUGUAUGAAACAUUAGAUAUAAUCUUUGCCCUUAUAUAUAUAAAUAUAGGAAAAUGGGUUAGUACUCCUAGGAGUACAUACUCCUACCAACGUGUCAGCUUUGAGGCUAUCCCGUUUAAACUCCAACCAAUAUCCAAUUACUUAAUUAAUUAUUUAAUUAGGUGAAAAUCUCACGGAAGGGAAAAGGUGGACUUUGAAAAGUUGUUCCAGAAUACUAGGGAUAAACACACGUACUGUUGCACAUUUGUUGCCCCGUAUAUUAAUCUCAUUAUUAGGAUUUUGAAUCUUCUAUUUGCACCAUGCCGGGCAGCGGCGAUUCGAAGACGGCGGCGACAAGAGAAUGAAGUGUGGCACCUGCCUACGGGGAAGACGCGCAUAGAACGAUGCAACGAGCCUCCGUGGCCAACGCAAGCUACAUGAGGGUGAUGCAUUGACCAGGAUGCAGCCGGACAGGACGGAGACGCUGGCCGGCGGCCGCGCCGCUGAGCGGCCAUGGUGAGCGAGUUCAAUGCAUAGAGUAAUCCAACCGGCUAACUUCCAUAGCUUGCACUCCGGCAGUGCAGCUACCUUGCGUCGGUUUCUGCUCUCCUGCUGCCGAUCUGCCACACCCCACGGUGCAAGCAAGUCCUAGGCACCGAUGAUGCAUGCAUGUACCUAGCACACGUGUUAUCAUGCAAUGUAUGCAUGGGAGGAAUAUUUAGCAGUUUCCUUUGCACUUAUACAAUCAACUUUUGUUUAUUAUACUGUACCGGUUAACAAAUGAGUACUAAUUUUUCCUUUU
Molecule: long non-coding RNA, 5712 nt
Organism: Triticum urartu
Lineage: Eukaryota; Viridiplantae; Streptophyta; Magnoliopsida; Poales; Poaceae
Source: RefSeq, a predicted model, not a curated record